CAAUAGCGUAUAUUAAAGUUGUUGCGGUUAAAAAGCUCGUAGUUGGAUUUCUGCCGAGGACGACCGGUCCGCCCUCUGGGUGUGUAUCUGGUUUGGCCUGGGCAUCUUCUUGGAGAACGUUGCUGCACUUGACUGUGUGGUGCGGUAUCCAGGACUUUUACUUUGAGGAAAUUAGAGUGUUCAAAGCAGGCAUCGCCGUUGAAUACAUUAGCAUGGAAUAAUAAGAUAGGACCUUGGUACUAUUUUGUUGGUUUGCGCACCGAGGUAAUGAUUAAUAGGGACAGUUGUGGGUAUUCGUAUUCCAUUGUCAGAGGUGAAAUUCUUGGAUUUCUGGAAGACGAACUAAUGCGAAAGCAUUUACCAAGGAUGUUUUCAUUAA
This 379-nucleotide ribosomal RNA is filed under the name uncultured eukaryote. Its description in RNAcentral is "partial 18S ribosomal RNA". It matches the Rfam family "Eukaryotic small subunit ribosomal RNA", at positions 592 to 976 of the family's 1831-position model. The record is from RNAcentral.